This is a long non-coding RNA of Manis pentadactyla (Chinese pangolin), 3617 nucleotides long. RefSeq lists it as uncharacterized. The transcript has 3 exons. Lineage: Eukaryota; Metazoa; Chordata; Mammalia; Pholidota; Manidae. The record is from RefSeq and is a predicted model, not a curated record.
GCAGGAGCUGACGCGCUUCCUCCUCCUCCUCUUCGGUCGCGGCCGCCGCCACCGCCUCCCCCCCAGCCGCCGGCCCCGCGCUCGGCUCCGCAGGCAAGGCCGCGUCUUUUGCCCCCCCUCCCCCCGCGUGUGCCUCUGGCUCAGGGCCUCAGUUUCCACAUCGGGACAACGGAGAAGAUAACGGGCCGUCCGGGAGAGAUAAAGGCGCGAAGCCACCUCCACCCCGAGACUGAGCUUCUGCACGCCUCCGUCUCCAGGGUCCUCUGAAGGCGCCCCGACUCCCCAUCUCGGCAGGCGCUCCGCCCCUCGGAAUUCCCGGCUCCGCAAGGGGCGGGUCUGGAAGGGAGAAGGGGCGGGGGAAACGGGCUAGAAAGUUUGCAGCAACUUUUCUUGAGAGUAAGUCCCUGGAACGGAUGCGCGUGGCCUGCGCAGGCGCAGUGGUAGAAGGAUGGCGGCUCGCGCUGCAGGCCCAGCCCCCUUCUUCCCUGGGAUCUGGUGGCACAGCUGGGUCACAGCUGGAGAAGAGGCGGUGCCUCCGGGUGGUCCGCUUGCCCUCUCCCAUUGGCAGGCCUCUAAGCCACGCCCCCGGCCGCCCCGGCCGUUCGCUGGUCCCGCUAGCUCCCCCUCAAAGCUAUUGACCGCCUCCGCUCGCCUUCUGAUUGGCCCACUGAGCAGCCUCCUUCCUUCCACGCGAACAGCGGACACCACGGAAUUCAGAGCUUUGGGAAGACGAGAGGGCCUUUUAUUUCGCGGGGAUUGGGGGUGGGGUCCCAGGUGGGGAGAGGCAAUAAAUACCGAGGAAUGUUGGGGUCUCAGUGCAUCCAAAACGUGGAUUAGGGUGCUGGGGUCCUGGAGCCUGUCAGCGGGUCGGAGGACAGGUCAAUAAAUACCCAAAUCGCCGAGGCGGGAGAAGCCGGCUGUGGCUCCGAGAGCAGAGCACGAGAGCCCCCGAGAAAAUGGGGCUGCCAAAAGCAAAAGUUUCCGGAGAGAACAGGGUCUCAUGCACAGAGGAUUUGUGGUUUGCAGACCGACGGGCGUGCGGGUGCGUGGAGGGUGAAAAACGGAUGUCCGAGCCCUAGGCCCUGCUGCCUUCUCUAGAUCGUGGUUUGCCCAUCCAUGUCGGGGCCUCAGCAAGGUCGGAAAAAGGAAGUGGCCCACGAUUCCCCACCAGCAGCAGCAGCAUUCCCGGCUACAGGCCUCCCGAGAGCCCGGUGCUCCGGCCGCGGCCCGGCUCCUCCCUCCCCGGCCGCCAGGGAGCGGGCCCGGAUCACAGGGCUGAAGCUGGGACGGAGACGGUAGCUAGAAGUGAUGAGAACCGGAGGGCGGUGGGAGUGGCCUCUGGGCCAAGCCAGGUCACUCAACCGUCCAGCGCAGCCCGAGUGGAGGACAGGCUGGGGUUCUAGGGUUCAGGGGGCGAAGGCGGCUCCCGGGAGGCGCCAGAGUUGGGUGAGGUGGCCGGCGUAGGCCACCAACCCAGAGCAGCCCAAGGCGGCGGCACGAGCCAGAGCAACGGCGAACAAGAGCAGGGAACGUGCCUCCGAUACGCCAAGCCUAGGGUCCUGCGAGAGAGAGGGCGGGAUCAGAACCAGCGAUACGGGUUCCAGAUUGGCUCCCAGGACUCGCCCUGCCUACGCCCACCCUCUACGCCAGCGCGGGCAUCUGGUUGGCCGGCUCUCAAGCCUCCAGUCUUGUCCGAACUCGUCAUUGGCCACUUCCUAGAUGUCUGUAUUGAUUGGCUGCCCGAGCAUCCUCCCUCCCCUCGACAGGCCCAGCCCCUCACAGGCGCAGCUAAGCAGGGGUGGCUUGGGGUAGGUGCAGCGCGGCGGGGAGGCGGCGGCGGGCGUGAACAGCCGGACGUACCCUGGCAGGGAGCAGCAGGUGGCGGCGGUGCAUGGGGCCUGGCCCCACCAGCGGGCACUGGCCCAGAGCCACGGCCGGGGGGCCAUCUAGCUGGAGAAAGAAGGGACAGGUGACCCGAUCGGAGCCCACCUGGCCCGGCCGCUGUAGGCAAGGGACUAGAGACAACGAGGGGAAUUGAGAUAUAGGAGAAAUCUAGGGAGAUCCCAGGCGGGAUUGGGAUUUCGUAAGAGGCCUGAACCAAGGGAGACCUUGUAGAUGUGGGGCUCAAUGGAGGGUAUCUGCCGCCUGGAACCCCAAAGAGGUAGGUGAGACCUAUAUCUGGACGGGGAGACAAGGACCGGGUCUGCAGAGGGGGCACAAGUCUUGACGCAGAGGAAAAAGAGGGCUCUUACAUGGGAAGGUGGAUCCGUAGCCCGGGGACUGGGGACCCCCGUGACAGCUGGAAGGAGAAGAGAGAGGCGUAGGGUGCGUGGAGGGACGGAGGAGGGUGGUGGCGCGGCGUGCCCCAGCCUGGGCCCCUCGCCCUCCCCACCACACACGCCGCGGCCCACCUCCCCACCCACCACCUUCGGCGCCCUCGGGGUAAGGGCGGACGAGGGACUUGCCUGCGGCCUCUUCGGCCUGCAGCAACUGCAUCCGCUCCUGCAGCUGUCGGACGUGCGCCUCCAGGUCUCGGUUCCGGGCCUCGGCCUCGCGGAGUUGACUGCGGGGAGGUAAGGACUGUGAGCCCUUCGAAUGCCGGCGGGAGGGGCUGCCCAAGGUAGCGACUUGCACCUGAACCCCAACUCCGACCUGGCGAAGUUCUGGUUGGCCGUACGGAUGGUCUGCAGCUCCCGGCUCAGGCUCUGCCGGGGAUCAUUUGUGACUGUAGUAACCCCUACUCUUUUCCAUCUCCUGUCGAGCAAGCUCCCAGAGGGCUCAGCACUCCAUGGCACCCGCCACCCCAGAAGCCCUCGACUCUUCUCUCCGGUCCCCCCCACUGACCCUCUCCAGUGACUCACGGUCUCCUCUGGUGGGGGCACGGGGAGCUCUGGCCUGGGUGCUUGCUCAGGUGGCUCAGGCAAUUGCUCGGCCUCCAGUUCCAUGGGCCUGGGGCCUGGGACCUCAUCAUCCCUGGGGAAAGGAAGAGGGGGAGAAGCGGAGCCAGUCACCCCAGAGAGGCUGCUGAUGCCCUGGGUUUAGAGCCAGGACUCCUUGCUGGCAAGGAGACACACCCUUCCUAGGAAAACGAAACUGCAGUAGAAGUGGAUGUCUUCUCCAACCUGGCAAUACCACUCGUGGAAAUAUGUCUCAAGGACUUAGUGAUAUUAGACAUGCACGGACACCAGCCUGUGGUUGUUCAUCCAGCCUGGGUUAUAAUAAAGAGGACAGGUUAACCAAGUCCUGACUUACCCAAAAGGCAGAAUACUACACAGUGUAGGGAUCGUGUGUAGUAGUUUCUUCAUGAUCAGAAAUGGGGUUUGCAAUACAUUGGCCAGUAAGAAAACAGACUAGAAUACAGCAUGUUCUAUGUUCUCAGUUGUCCAGUACAUGUGCACUUGUGUGAGCCAGGGACCAUCACUGAUGGUGGGAUUCUUUUUCCUUAUCCCUGUUUUUUAAUUUACUUCUGACAAGCCAAGCAUUAUUUGUAUAAUUAAUGAUUUAGUGAGCUUGUGCUUUGAAGAUUGAUUUUAAAAUUUAAAUUUAAAAUAAUUCAAAUUAUUUUCUAAGAUCCUGAGUCCCACGGCUCUGUGUACCAGAAAUCUCAAAAUAGAAGG